GCUCUGGUGGCCUAGUGGUUAGAGCAUCUGCCUCGAAUGCGGGAGGUAGUGGGUUUGAUCCCUGGUCAAGUCA
This is a non-coding RNA of Potamilus streckersoni, 73 nucleotides long. NCBI's taxonomy places the organism in Eukaryota, Metazoa, Mollusca, Bivalvia, Unionida, Unionidae. The record is from the annotation of a GenBank genome assembly.